GUGAGUGUAGCUCAGUCGGUUAGAGCGCCUGACUGUGGCUCAGGAGGCCGAGGGUUCAAAUCCCUUCACUCACC
RNAcentral lists this transfer RNA (74 nucleotides) under bacterium. RNAcentral's name for it is "tRNA-His". It matches the Rfam family "tRNA". Rfam says of the family: Transfer RNA (tRNA) molecules are approximately 80 nucleotides in length. Their secondary structure includes four short double-helical elements and three loops (D, anti-codon, and T loops). The record is from RNAcentral.